Molecule: ribosomal RNA, 484 nt
Filed under: uncultured Burkholderiales bacterium
Lineage: Bacteria; Pseudomonadati; Pseudomonadota; Betaproteobacteria; Burkholderiales
Description: bacterial SSU rRNA
Rfam family: Bacterial small subunit ribosomal RNA
Source: RNAcentral
AUUGAACGCUGGCGGCAUGCCUUACACAUGCAAGUCGAACGGUAACAGCAGAGCUUGCUCUGGCUGACGAGUGGCGGACGGGUGAGUAAUGCAUCGGAAUGUACCCAGUAGUGGGGGAUAGCCCGGCGAAAGCCGGAUUAAUACCGCGUACGCACUACGGUGGAAAGUGGGGGACCCUCGGGCCUCACGCUAUUGGAGCAGCCGAUGUCAGAUUAGCUUGUUGGUGGGGUAAAAGCCUACCAAGGCGACGAUCUGUAACUGGUCUGAGAGGACGACCAGUCACACUGGGACUGAGACACGGCCCAGACUCCUACGGGAGGCAGCAGUGGGGAAUUUUGGACAAUGGGGGAAACCCUGAUCCAGCAAUGCCGCGUGUGUGAAGAAGGCCUUCGGGUUGUAAAGCACUUUUGUCAGGAAAGAAAACUAGUUGGUUAAUACCCGGCUGGGAUGACGGUACCUGAAGAAUAAGCACCGGCUAACUACG